AUGCUGGAGUCACCUGCUAUACCACAAUGCCAGCCCCAAGAGCAGUAUUUUAAGAACCUGGGAUAUAUCUCCCAAGUGACUCCACGCAUCCAUGAGCUUUAUGAGGUAAUAACCCAACUUAAGAACUUCCAAGUAGCCAGAGAUCUCAGACAGAGGAAGAUGCUCCCCACCACCAAAGGAGGGCAAGGAGGAGAUGGGGGGGGGGGCAGGGGUUGGGAAAUGUUUUCUGCUAUCAACAAGAGGCAGGAGCUGAUGGCAACAAAGGCCCAUUCCAGUUCCAUUGGUGUGUUCUGGAAGCCCAAGAUCCAUCUGACACUUUGCUGUGAGGCAGGUGCACCGAAAUAUCUUCCUUGGUCCCAAACAAAAUGGGACAUUUUGCAAGCAUGAUGCUUCCGGAUGCAGCGUCUGGAAAACCCUAACAGGGAGUUAAGUCACAUGCCAGAUACUCUGUGAGGACUCACCAGCAUCUCAUUAUAUGUAAAAAUGACCCAUAAGCCAGGUAUGCUUAUCACCAUCUUCCCUAUUUCACAGAUGAACAAACAGCAACUGAGAAAUACUGUGACUCACCCAAAGCUACACAGCUAAUUAGUAACCAAACAGAAUCUUGAGCCCAGCCUAGCAGAACCAAAAACCCAGCCACAUCGCCCCAAAUUGUAGGUGCUGUGCAGCCGGGCCAAGGACUAUGCUUGGAGUAGGAGGCAGUACUCUAUUGUGCCUCUCAGUAGCAUGCAUCAGAUUAUUUAGCCCCUACAACAAGCCCGGCAUUUCAUAACAUGCUAUUCAGACCUAUCUGAUUUAAUUCCCACUACCAUCCGAGCAGGUGGAUGCUAUGAUAAUUCCCAUUUGAAGAAGGGAAACCUGAGGCAUCAUAAGCUGACGUGCUAGCCAAAAUGAAGACAGCUCCAACAGACGGAGGCAGAAGCCUUACCCACAUCUGGCCAGUCCCCUAACUGAUUUCUUUAACCUUCACCAGGUUGUUAAGAUAUAUCUGUCCCCAGACACCCUGCCAGGUUUACGUAUAAUGCAGUCAUUCAUGGAUCAAGGAAUGAAAUAUUCUCCAAGAAAAUUAGGAGGUCACAGCCAACUGAGACUACAGAAGAAAUAUUGCUGCAAACUGUGGUGCCAUCCUGUGCUUCCGAUAAUUCUCUUAAGAGAAGAUGCAUUAUGUUAGUUUAUCAUUUUAAAUAAAUUCUCCACGAGCUAUUUACCUGUCA
This 1214-nucleotide long non-coding RNA is filed under the name Oryctolagus cuniculus (rabbit). RNAcentral's name for it is "lncRNA (ENSOCUG00000032855.1)". The record is from RNAcentral. Lineage: Eukaryota; Metazoa; Chordata; Mammalia; Lagomorpha; Leporidae.